CAACUCGGCUGCAUGAAGCUGGAAUCGCUAGUAAUCGCCAGAUCAGAAUGCUGCGGUGAAUACGUUCCCGGGUCUUGUACACACCGCCCGUCACACCAUGGGAGUUGGAAAUGCCCGAAGUCAGUGACCGAACCGAAAGGAAGGAGCUGCCGAAGGUGGAGCCGAUGACUGGGGUGAAGUCGUAACAAGGUAUC
Molecule: ribosomal RNA, 194 nt
Filed under: uncultured bacterium
Lineage: Bacteria
Description: partial 16S ribosomal RNA
Rfam family: Bacterial small subunit ribosomal RNA
Source: RNAcentral